AGAGUCUGACGAUCGGUCUAUAUGCAGGAAUCAACAUUACAGACAUGUGAUCAGAGUAUCCGAGGUGGGGGUGGUGCUCCGCCCGGUACGCACCGGAAAUGUUUGUGUAAACGAGAUCCAGCGCGUUCGCUCCUCUGGUUGCAAAGUUUACAUGUUGAUGGAAUUUAGGUAGUACUGACUAGAGAUUUGCGUGGUUGAAGUCUCCGGCGACAAUAAACAGUCCGUCUGGAUGAACGUUCUGCAGUUCACUAAUCGCUCCAUACAGCUCUUUGGAGAGCUUCUCGUGUGUUUGCGCUGGGUAGAAUGUAUAACGCGAUUAUAAACGAGGUGAAUUCCCGCGGUAAAUAAAAAGGUCUGUAUCUGACAAUAGCAAACUCUACAAGCGGUGAGCAGUACUUAACGACAAGCACAGAGUUUUUACAGCAAGACUCAUUGAUAUAAAUGCAUACUCCUCCGCCGCGUGUUUUGCCGGAGAGUGCAUUGUCUGUCGGCACGGAUUGAGACUAAUCCAUCCAGAUGAAUGGCGGCGUCUGGAAUACUGUCGCUGAGCCACGUUUCAGUAAAGACUAAAACAGCAGUCUCUGAACUCUCGCUUUGUAGUCUGCUGGAGUUUGAUGCAGUCCAGUUUAUUAUCCAAGGAGCAGACAUUUGAAAGGAAUAGAGAUGGUAGAGCUGGUCUGCUAGGAUUAGCUUUUAGCCUAGCACGGACCCCAGCUCGCUUCCCCCGCUUCUGCUUCCUUGCACACCGCUUGCGGUGUCUCCCCCUUCGGCAUUUGGACUUAGGCGACGCCGUGGUCUGCAAGCCUGGUACGCAUAGCAACCCGAGCUCACAGAGCGUCUGAAGCACGCCGUCGUCCAGCCCAGGGAGGACUUAGAUCACACAUGGCCAGCGAUACAUGAUAAGCACACCUACAUGUCUUCAUCCAGCUGCCACCUGAAGCCAUAUAAACUCUGACAGGGUUAAAAAGUUCCCCUGCCUGUUCAUCAGAUCAUUCCAUUGGACAUUGCAUGAUGGCAGGGAGGAUUGUUCUUGACCAGCUUCCACCUCCACAAUUUUUUGAUGAAUUACAGAAAUUCCCAUUGAGGCUCCUUCACAAAUCUCCAAGUUUAUUACUUUACAACAAACCUGUAAAGUUUAUUACUUUACAACAUUUAUCUUAUGAAAAAGAUGGGUACUUAUGAGUAUAUAUCUUAUGAGUACUGAGAUGAAGUACUACAGAGGGUAGACUUGUAGCAUACUAUGGUGGCAUUUAUGUUCAUGGAGUCAGUUAUAUUCAUCUUAUUUGAGUGACCUAACGAAGUUAUUUAGCAACUGAAUCACAGUUUCACCCAGUUUCCACAGCCUUUCACAAAUAUAAUUCCUUUCAGUUUGAGUUGCAUAACUGAAGUAAAUAGCUUUGUUAGUGACAAAUUACAUCACCUAUAUUAAAAUGCUUAUAUAAAAUCAAGGCAAAUACAAACAACACAAAAACCAUCACAGGUACAGAUUGCAUACUCAAACUCCACACAGGAAGCAGCUAGUCCAUGAACCAAACCCAGGUUACUGGAACUGUGAGGCAGCAGUUUUAACCACUGCACCAUCACGCCAAGCACCUUUAGUUCAGUAAAUACUUUGUUUCUUAUUUAUUGCAGUGCAAACUGUGGCACAAAUCAGCAAAGCUAUAUGCUUUCUUAAAAAUAUUUUUAUGUACAGGGUGCCAUAUUGUAUUGAAAGGAGAGCUCACAGAUACGGAAAUGUCUGUAUGCUUUUCACCCAUGUCAUGUCAUGACAUUCGGACUGAUUAGCUAUACAAAUGGACGAUUCAAACAUGCAGUUUGAAUCUUUAUCCAUGCUUGAUUUUUUAAAUUGCACAGUAUAUAUGCUUAACACAAUAAAAAUAAAGUUUUUCUACAUGGGGAACAAAUUGUUGACUGCACUUUCUUUAAGUAUGUUUACUUAUACCUAUUCUACUUGUCCUUGGAAGAAAGAGUUUAAACAGAUUAGUUAGAUCAUG
Molecule: non-coding RNA, 1994 nt
Organism: Electrophorus electricus (electric eel)
Lineage: Eukaryota; Metazoa; Chordata; Actinopteri; Gymnotiformes; Gymnotidae
Source: RefSeq, a predicted model, not a curated record